Non-coding RNA from Potamilus streckersoni, 74 nucleotides. NCBI's taxonomy places the organism in Eukaryota, Metazoa, Mollusca, Bivalvia, Unionida, Unionidae. The record is from the annotation of a GenBank genome assembly.
GCUCCGGUGGUUGAAGUGAUUAGAGCUUCCGCCUAAGAUGCGCGAGGUCGCAGGUUCAAACCCCGGCCGGGCCA